GGCUGGUCCGAAGGUAUUGAGUUAUCUCAAUUGAUUGUUCACAGUCAGUACAGAUUGAACUCCUUGUUCUACUCUUUCCCCCUUCUCACUACCGCACUUGACUAGUCCAAA
RNAcentral lists this Y RNA (111 nucleotides) under Cavia aperea (Brazilian guinea pig). Its description in RNAcentral is "Y RNA (ENSCAPG00000002944.1)". It matches the Rfam family "Y RNA". Rfam says of the family: Y RNAs are components of the Ro ribonucleoprotein particle (Ro RNP), in association with Ro60 and La proteins. Lineage: Eukaryota; Metazoa; Chordata; Mammalia; Rodentia; Caviidae. The record is from RNAcentral.